AAAAACAGCCCCCGAAGUUCGGGGUCCCAAGACCCCCCAGCGGAAAAAUGGCCAAAAAACGGUGGGCUAUAGCCUUGGUGGGGGGCGUGGGCGAAGUUCGUCCGUGGGACUCGGAAUGGCACCAGACUUGGCGGGCGGCCUCCGGGUACCAAAAAUAGGCCACGGGCACAGCCGCGCCCAAAAAACAGCCCCCGAAGUUCGGGGUCCCAAGACCCCCCAGCGGAAAAAUGGCCAAAAAACGGUGGGCUAUAGCCUUGGUGGGGGGCGUGGGCGAAGUUCGUCCGCGGGACUCGGAAUGGCACCGGACUUGGCGGGCGGCCUCCGUGUGCCAAAAAUAGGCCACGGGCACAGCCGCGCCCAAAAAACAGCCCCCGAAGUUCGGGGUCCCAAGUCCCCCCAGCGGAAAAAUGGCCAAAAAACGGGUGGGCUAUAGCUUUGGUGGGGGGCGUGGGCGAAGUUCGUCCGCGGGACUCGGAAUGGCACCAGACUUGGCGGGCGGCCCUCUGUGUGUCUAAAAUAGGCCACGGGCACAGCCGCGCCCAAAAAACAGCCCCCGAAGUUCGGGGUCCCAAGACCCCCCAGCGAAAAAAUGGCCAAAAAACGGGUGGGCUAUAGCCUUGGUGGGGGGCGUGGGCGAAGUUCGUCCGCGGAACUCGGAAUGGCACCAGACUUGGCAGGCGGCCUCCGUGUGCCAAAAAUAGGCCACGGGCACAGCCGCGCCCAAAAACAGGCCCCGAUGAUCGGGGUCCCAAGACCCCCCAGCGGAAAAAUGGCCAAAAAACGGGUGGGCUAUAGCCUUGGUGGGGGGCGUGGGCGAAGUUCGUCCGCGGGACUCGGAAUGGCACCAGACUUGGCGGGCGGCCUUCGUGUGCCAAAAAUAGGCCACGGGCACAGCCGCGCCCAAAAAACAACCCCCGAAGUUCGGGGUCCCAAGACCCCCCAGCGGAAAAAUGGCCAAAAAACGGUGGGCUAUGGCCUUGGUGGGGGGCGAGGGCGAAGUUCGUCCGCGGGACUCGGAAUGGCACCAGACUUGGCGGGCGGCCUCCGUGUGCCAAAAAUAGGCCACGGGCACAGCCGCGCCCAAAAAACAACCCCCGAAGUUCGGGGUCCCAAGACCCCCCAGCGGAAAAAUGGCCAAAAAACGGUGGGCUAUAGCCUUGGUGGGGGGCGUGGGCGAAGUUCGUCCGCGGGACUCGGAAUGGCAACGGACUUGGCGGGCGGCCUCCGUGUGCCAAAAAUAGGCCACGGGCACAGCCGCGCCCAAAAAACAGCCCCCGAAGUUCGGGGUCCCAAGUCCCCCCAGCGGAAAAAUGGCCAAAAAACGGGUGGGCUAUAGCCUUGGUGGGGGGCGUGGGCGAAGUUCGUCCGCGGGACUCGGAAUGGCACCAGACUUGGCGGGCGGCCUCCGUGUGCCAAAAAUAGGCCACGGGCACAGCCGCGCCCAAAAAACAGCCCCCGAAGUUCGGGGUCCCAAGACCCCCCAGCGAAAAAAUGGCCAAAAAAUGGGUGGGCUAUAGCCUUGGUGGGGGGCGUGGGCGAAGUUCGUCCGCGGAACUCGGAAUGGCACCAGACUUGGCAGGCGGCCUCCGUGUGCCAAAAAUAGGCCACGGGCACAGCCGCGCCCAAAAAACAGGCCCCGAAGAUCGGGGUCCCAAGACCCCCCAGCGGAAAAAUGGCCAAAAAACGGGUGGGCUAUAGCCUUGGUGGGGGGCGUGGGCGAAGUUCGUCCGCGGGACUCGGAAUGGCACCAGACUUGGCGGGCGGCCUCCGUGUGCCAAAAAUAGGCCACGGGCACAGCCGCGCCCAAAAAACAGCCCCCGAAGUUCGGGGUCCCAAGACCCCCCAGCGGAAAAAUGGCCAAAAAACGGUGGGCUAUGGCCUUGGUGGGGGGCGAGGGCGAAGUUCGUCCGCGGGACUCGGAAUGGCACCAGACUUGGCGGGCGGCCUCCGUGUGCCAAAAAUAGGCCACGGGCACAGCCGCGCCCAAAAAACAACCCCCGAAGUUCGGGGUCCCAAGACCCCCCAGCGGAAAAAUGGCCAAAAAACGGUGGGCUAUAGCCUUGUGGGGGUGCGUGGGCGAAAUUCGUCCGCGGAAUUCGGAAUGGCACCAAGACUUGGCGGGCCGGCCUCCGUGUUGCCAAAAAUAUGGCUACGGGCCACAGCCUGUCGCCACAAAAAACAGCCCCCGAAGUUCGGGGUCCCAAGACCCCCCAGCGGAAAAAUGGCCAAAAAACGGGUGGGCUAUAGCCUUGGUGGGGGGUGUGGGCGAAGUUCGUCCGCGGGACUCAGAAUGGCACCAGACUUGGCGGGCGGCCUCCGUGUGCCAAAAAUAGGCCACGGGCACAGCCGCGCCCAAAAAACAGCCCCCGAAGUUCGGGAUCCCAAGACCCCCCAGCGGAAAAAUGGCCAAAAAACGGUGGGCUAUAGCCUUGGUGGGGGGCGUGGGCGAAGUUCGUCCGUGGGACUCGGAAUGGCACCAGACUUGGCGGGCGGCCUCCGUGUGCCAAAAAUAGGCCACGGGCACAGCCGCGCCCAAAAAACAGCCCCCGAAGUUCGGGGUCCCAAGACACCCCAGCGGAAAAAUGGCCAAAAAACGGGUGGGCUAUAGCCUUGGUGGGGGGAGUGGGCGAAGUUCGUCCGCGGGACGCGGAAUGGCACCAGACUUGGCGGGCGGCCUCCGUGUGCCAAAAAUAGGCCACGGGCACAGCCGCGCCCAAAAAACAGCCCCCGAAGUUCGGGGUCCCAAGACCCCCCAGCGGAAAAAAUGGCCAAAAAACGGGUGGGCUAUAGCCUUGGUGGGGGGCGUGGGCGAAGUUCGUCUGCGGGACUCGGAAUGGCACCAGACUUGGCGGGCGGCGUCCGUGUGCCAAAAAUAGGCCACGGGCACAGCCGCGCCCAAAAAACAGCCCCCGAAGUUUGGGGUCCCAAGACCCCCGAGCGGAAAAAUGGCCAAAAAACGGUGGGCUAUAGCCUUGGUGGGGGGCGUGGGCGAAGUUCGUCCGUGGGACUCGGAAUGGCACCAGACUUGGCGGGCAGCCUCCGUGUGCCAAAAAUAGGCCACGGGCACAGCCGCGCCCAAAAAACAACCCUCGAAGUUCGUGGUCCCAAGACCCCCCAGCGGAAAAAUGGCCAAAAAACGGUGGGCUAUAGCCUUGGUGGGGUGCGUGGGCGAAGUUCGUCCGCGGGACUCGGAAUGGCACCAGACUUGGCGGGCGGCCUCCGUGUGCCAAAAAUAGGCCACGGGCACAGCCGCGCCCAAAAAACAGCCCCCGAAGUUCGGGGUCCCAAGACCCCCCAGCGGAAAAAUGGCCAAAAAACGGUGGGCUAUGGCCUUGGUGGGGGGCGUGGGCGAAGUUCGUCCGUGGGACUCGGAAUGGCACCAGACUUGGCGGGCGGCCUCCGUGUGCCAAAAAUAGGCCACGGGCACAGCCGCGCCCAAAAAACAGCCCCCGAAGUUCGGGGUCCCAAGACACCCCAGCGGAAAAAUGGCCAAAAAACGGGUGGGCUAUAGCCUUGGUGGGGGGAGUGGGCGAAGUUCGUCCGCGGGACGCGGAAUGGCACCAGACUUGGCGGGCGGCCUCCGUGUGCCAAAAAUAGGCCACGGGCACAGCCGCGCCCAAAAAACAGCCCCCGAAGUUCGGGGUCCCAAGACCCCCCAGCGGAAAAAAUGGCCAAAAAACGGGUGGGCUAUAGCCUUGGUGGGGGGCGUGGGCGAAGUUCGUCUGCGGGACUCGGAAUGGCACCAGACUUGGCGGGCGGCGUCCAUGUGCCAAAAAUAGGCCACGGGCACAGCAGCGCCCAAAAAACAGCCCCCGAAGUUUGGGGUCCCAAGACCCCCGAGCGGAAAAAUGGCCAAAAAACGGUGGGCUAUAGCCUUGGUGGGGGGCGUGGGCGAAGUUCGUCCGUGGGACUCGGAAUGGCACCAGACUUGGCGGGCAGCCUCCGUGUGCCAAAAAUAGGCCACGGGCACAGCCGCGCCCAAAAAACAACCCUCGAAGUUCGGGGUCCCAAGACCCCCCAGCGGAAAAAUGGCCAAAAAACGGUGGGCUAUAGCCUUGGUGGGGUGCGUGGGCGAAGUUCGUCCGCGGGACUCGGAAUGGCACCAGACUUGGCGGGCGGCCUCCGUGUGCCAAAAAUAGGCCAAGGGCACAGCCGCGCCCAAAAAACAGCCCCCGAAGUUCGGGGUCCCAAGACCCCU
This 4198-nucleotide long non-coding RNA is filed under the name Citrus x clementina. Its description in RNAcentral is "Citrus clementina (C. clementina) long non-coding RNA (CCLE_LNC006240)". Lineage: Eukaryota; Viridiplantae; Streptophyta; Magnoliopsida; Sapindales; Rutaceae. The record is from RNAcentral.